GAUGAACGCUGGCGGCGUGCCUAAUACAUGCAAGUCGAGCGAACAGACGAGGAGCUUGCUCCUUUGACGUUAGCGGCGGACGGGUGAGUAACACGUGGGUAACCUACCUAUAAGACUGGGAUAACUUCGGGAAACCGGAGCUAAUACCGGAUAAUAUUUCGAACCGCAUGGUUCGAUAGUGAAAGAUGGCUCUGCUAUCACUUAUAGAUGGACCUGCGCCGUAUUAGCUAGUUGGUAAGGUAACGGCUUACCAAGGCAACGAUACGUAGCCGACCUGAGAGGGUGAUCGGCCACACUGGAACUGAGACACGGUCCAGACUCCUACGGGAGGCAGCAGUAGGGAAUCUUCCGCAAUGGGCGAAAGCCUGACGGAGCAACGCCGCGUGAGUGAUGAAGGUCUUCGGAUCGUAAAACUCUGCUAUUAGGGAAGAACAAACGUGUAAGUAACUGUGCACGUCUUGGCGGUACCUAAUCAGAAAGCCACGGCUAACUACGUG
Molecule: ribosomal RNA, 497 nt
Filed under: uncultured bacterium
Lineage: Bacteria
Description: partial 16S ribosomal RNA
Rfam family: Bacterial small subunit ribosomal RNA
Source: RNAcentral